RNAcentral lists this ribosomal RNA (248 nucleotides) under uncultured bacterium. RNAcentral describes it as "partial 16S ribosomal RNA". It matches the Rfam family "Bacterial small subunit ribosomal RNA", at positions 1255 to 1500 of the family's 1533-position model. The record is from RNAcentral.
UCGUGAGGCGGAGCUAAUCCCUUAAAGCCAUUNUCAGUUCGGAUUGUAGGCUGAAACUCGCCCACAUGAAGCUGGAGUUACUAGUAAUCGCAGAUCAGAAUGCUGCGGUGAAUGCGUUCCCGGGUCUUGUACACACCGCCCGUCACACCACGGAAGUUGGGGGCGCCCGAAGCCACUUAGCUAACCCUUUUGGGAAGCGAGUGUCGAAGGUGAAAUCAAUAACUGGGGUGAAGUCGUAACAAGGUACC